Molecule: small RNA, 640 nt
Filed under: Pongo abelii (Sumatran orangutan)
Lineage: Eukaryota; Metazoa; Chordata; Mammalia; Primates; Hominidae
Description: retained intron
Source: RNAcentral
GCAGGGCGGAGGCGACCUGCAGUUUGUGGCGCUGUGAUGGUCUAGAGGCUGGAGAUUCAAGAUCUGGGUGCCAUCAUUUUCUGGUUCUGUUGAUGACCCUCUUCCAGGUUACAUACAGCUCACAUCUUGCAUCCUCAAGUGGUAGAGAGCAAACUCUUAAAUGUUUCUAUAUGUUUUUAUUCUACUGCCACAUUAAAUCGCCGAGCCAGAUAAUUUGUUGAAUAUUUAUCCCUCACCCUCUGCCCCACCACAUGUGCAGAGUUUUGCAUUACUUUUGCAUAUUGACAAUGUAUUUUAGUGGUCAGUAAAGAAAUAUUUAUGUUUGACUUUUUUGCUUAAAAAUAUUCUAAAAUUCAUGAUGACUGACUUUGGCUUUGUGAACUUGAACUAUAUCUUAUGGGUAUAGCAGGUGAGAUGUUCAGCCUUCUACUAGUUGACAUUCAAAUUGUUAAUAGCUAACACUGAUAAAGCUCUUUAUAUGCUAGCUACAGUGCUUAUAUUAUAUAUAUAUAUGUAUAUAUACUCAUUUAAUUGCCAUAACCCUAGGGAGUAUUUAAUAUUAUCUUCAUUUUAUAGGAAAGGAAGCUGAGGCAUAGAAAGUUUAAGUGACUUGCCCAAGUCUCAUAGCUUUUAAGUAUCA